This 253-nucleotide ribosomal RNA is filed under the name uncultured bacterium. RNAcentral's name for it is "partial 16S ribosomal RNA". It matches the Rfam family "Bacterial small subunit ribosomal RNA", at positions 524 to 776 of the family's 1533-position model. The record is from RNAcentral.
UACAGAGGGUGCGAGCGUUGUCCGGAAUCACUGGGCGUAAAGGGCGCGUAGGUGGCUGGAUAAGUGUGUGGUGAAAGCUCGGGGCUCAACCCCGAGUCUGCCAUGCAGACUGUCUUGCUUGAGCGUAGUAGAGGCAGGUGGAAUUCCGGGUGUAGCGGUGGAAUGCGUAGAGAUCCGGAAGAACACCGGUGGCGAAGGCGGCCUGCUGGGCUACUGCUGACACUGAGGCGCGAAAGCGUGGGGAGCAAACAGG